This 253-nucleotide ribosomal RNA is filed under the name uncultured bacterium. RNAcentral describes it as "partial 16S ribosomal RNA". It matches the Rfam family "Bacterial small subunit ribosomal RNA", at positions 524 to 776 of the family's 1533-position model. The record is from RNAcentral.
UACAGAGGUCUCAAGCGUUGUUCGGAUUCAUUGGGCGUAAAGGGUGCGUAGGUGGCGGGGUAAGUCAGGUGUGAAAUCUCGGAGCUCAACUCCGAAACUGCACUUGAUACUGCCUUGCUAGAGUACUGGAGAGGAGAUUGGAAUUUACGGUGUAGCAGUGAAAUGCGUAGAUAUCGUAAGGAAGACCAGUGGCGAAGGCGAAUCUCUGGACAGUUACUGACACUGAGGCACGAAGGCCAGGGGAGCAAACGGG